Molecule: long non-coding RNA, 971 nt
Filed under: Theobroma cacao (cacao)
Lineage: Eukaryota; Viridiplantae; Streptophyta; Magnoliopsida; Malvales; Malvaceae
Description: long non-coding RNA (TCAC_LNC001822)
Source: RNAcentral
ACUGACCAAAAAGGUGUAGGGCUACGAACCCUUACUUUCUAGAAUGCAACUCCGAGUUAAUUAUCGUCUUAAUCAACUAUCAACAAACUAUCUUGAGCCUGAAAAAUGGAUAGGAAGAGGGGUGAAAUUAUGAUUACAUAAUCCUAGUGAAUAAACAGACACCAUCUAAACUAUCUAAAGGGAGUAAAUGGAGACGAAUUAAAAUAUUCUUUUCCAAUAUAUGUUUCAUAACAUAAAUAUUCAAUUUACUCAAUUAAUCAAUAUGGCUUAUAUAUCUCACAAAACUUGGCUCCUGCCAAAAUCAUUCCUGAGUAUGCCUUGGCCUAGGCAUCUGACCGAGACCACCAAGGCUAUUAAAUAUCUUUACAUCCGAAAUUCUAGCCAUGCCUUGGCGUUGGCUGAGUCUCACUCUCACGCGGUGGUCCACGUAAAGUGCACUCAAAAGCCCAACUCAGGAGAUACCCUACGCACCUCUACGACCGAUGUGAGAAUAUAAAGGAGUUUAUCGUGCCCCUCUAAUAAGCUGGUCCACAGAACCCUGCCACUGCAGUAGCUAAUCUUUAUUUUAUCUACCACCUGAUUUAUAAAAUCCUUAUCUGCAUGAUAUGGCAAUUUAUCGCAAUCUAACCUCUCAAGGCUGAAUACAUAGUAUAUAUAAUUUUAGAUACAAAUAUCGACUUUGCCAUUCAUGCUCACAUAUUGUUAUAAGCCAUAUAUUUUAAAACACAAUUUAUAACACAAGUAGGCAGUUCCAAUCACUCUAUUUUCAAAACCAAUAUUCAAUUUUCCAGAAAAUCUAUAAAAUCAUUUUAUAAAAUCAUAAUUUCUCCUAAAACAUAGCAAUUUACCUUUUAAACCCAUUUUUCAUAAAAUCAUACAAUUGUAUAAAACUACUCUAGAUAAUUAAGACAAUAAUAAGUUUACUCACAGUUUUAGGAGUCGAUAUACUCUUAAUCCCAGUCUUCAAGCAC